GACGAACGCUGGCGGCGUGCUUAACACAUGCCAGUCGAACGGAAAGGCCCUGCUUUUGUGGGGUGCUCGAGUGGCGAACGGGUGAGUAACACGUGAGUAACCUGCCCUUGACUUUGGGAUAACUUCAGGAAACUGGGGCUAAUACCGGAUAGGAGCUCCUGCUGCAUGGUGGGGGUUGGAAAGUUUCGGCGGUUGGGGAUGGACUCGCGGCUUAUCAGCUUGUUGGUGGGGUAGUGGCUUACCAAGGCUUUGACGGGUAGCCGGCCUGAGAGGGUGACCGGCCACAUUGGGACUGAGAUACGGCCCAGACUCCUACGGGAGGCAGCAGUGGGGAAUAUUGCACAAUGGGCGGAAGCCUGAUGCAGCAACGCCGCGUGCGGGAUGACGGCCUUCGGGUUGUAACCGCUUUCGCCUGUGACGAAGCGUGAGUGACGGUAAUGGGUAAAGAAGCACCGGCUAACUACGUG
RNAcentral lists this ribosomal RNA (467 nucleotides) under uncultured bacterium. RNAcentral's name for it is "partial 16S ribosomal RNA". It matches the Rfam family "Bacterial small subunit ribosomal RNA", at positions 28 to 507 of the family's 1533-position model. The record is from RNAcentral.